UAAAAAAAAAAAUUUUAUUUUAUUUAUUUGAGGUGGGGGGGAGAGCAGGAGCAGGGGGCAGGGAGGGGCAGAAGGAGACAGAGAAGCAGACUCCCUACUGAGCAGGGAGCCCGACUCAGGGCUCGAUCCGAGGACCCGGAGAUCAUGACCUGAGCUUAACUGACUGAGUCACGCAGAUGCUCCUCUAGAGUCAUGUCCUUAAUGAAAUUCUACUAUGAGCUAAGUCCUGUGCUGGUUGCCAUGGAGACAUAAGAGGUAAAAUCAAGGAUUUUACCUUCAGGAGGCACACUGCUAAGUAGGCAGUAAGAGAGACACAGGAGUUACUGAAACUGGUACCUGGUGAAGACGGAAGCAGACCAGAACUACUUCAGAACAGGACCAGACACAAACUCUAGAGAAUAUCAUAUCUCUGUACCCUUCCCAGAGAGCAGGGCUGAAGAGGUGGAUACAGCAAUACUGAGAGGUCUGCGUGGCUUGUAGACAGCUCUGAGAGGUUGACCAAACCAAACAUUGAGGAAUUGUUUCUAGAACUGAGAAGUUGCCUUACAUGUGAGAUGGCUCUGAGUCUCAUGCCAAAACUGCUGGUGGAAGUCACUUUUCUUACUGAAAGAGUUGCUUCCUAGCUGAUUACAGCCGGUGUCACAACCAGAUAAAGCAAAGAUGUUGCUGAAAGGCAGCGUGGUGGGAGAUCUGGAGUGAACACAGGGCAGCUGGCUUCACAGCUGUGCAAACUAUGUAAUUCUAUGGUUUCAGUGGGAGGUAAUAAACAGCUGUAAACUUCCGCA
Molecule: long non-coding RNA, 785 nt
Filed under: Vulpes vulpes (red fox)
Lineage: Eukaryota; Metazoa; Chordata; Mammalia; Carnivora; Canidae
Description: lncRNA (ENSVVUG00000003924.1)
Source: RNAcentral